This 6187-nucleotide long non-coding RNA is filed under the name Carica papaya (papaya). RNAcentral's name for it is "long non-coding RNA (CPAP_LNC002903)". The record is from RNAcentral. Lineage: Eukaryota; Viridiplantae; Streptophyta; Magnoliopsida; Brassicales; Caricaceae.
AAAAAUCAGUCUUUUAAAACUUCAGCAUUUCUGUCGACAUCCACAAUAUAUAAUAGCUCGUCUUCUUCGUAUUUUCUAAUUCUUUAUUUCACUGUGAUAAUAUCAUUAUCUACUGCGUAUAGGGUAUGAUCAGCAGUUGAUGCUCACAAAAAUGAAAAAGAGACAGCCUUUCAUAAAGACCUGUUGCAUUCUCUGGUUAUAACAGAUGACGCUUCCACAAUUGAUGGUGAAGUUGGGAAGAAAUUGAACCUCAUGGUUCCUGUUCCUGUUCCUCAGGUUGGUGUUCUUCUCUUUCGCUGUUGUAGGAUUGCUGUAGUAGGCAAAACCAGAUGAGUGUUGCGAUUCUGGCUUUCUUCCGUGGUUUGAGCGUCAUUGAGCGUGUUUAAUGGUUGAUAGAUUAAUGUUGACUGAAGUUUUCAAGUUUUCUUUUACAAUAUCCUUGCAUUGAUUUGUAUAUCAAAUAUGCUGAUCUAUAUACGAUCCAUCCAUUAUCCGCAGUAUGCAUUAUGUACAAACCAAGGAGCUGCUCCUUGGAUGUAUGUAAACAAAGCUGGCUAACCACGCUCCAGAUUAGAUUCAUAGCCACAUCGCCCGUAUGCCUCACCUAAGCCACUUCUUAAAUGUGGGUGCUGCUCAAUAGCGUUCUUAAAAGCAUACCCAUGAAUUUCUUUGAUCAAACUCAGUGCCGCUAUGUUCUCACAAGCCAACAGCAAAGCAAGAAGCGUUAUCAAAUUAGGUCUCAAACCCCACUUUUCCAAUUCUCCUGUAGAUGAGAAAACUUUGCAAAUAGUUCAAGAAAAAGUUAACAAAUGAGGUGGUAGAAAGUGAAAACUUCAACAUCUCUGCAAAAUGAAGAAUGAUGGAAAGAGCUGGAAUCAUUUGAAUGUAAAGAAGAUGUUAAAUUUAAUGAUUUUUUCUGUUGAGUUUAAAUUCAAAAAAAGGAAAUCCACCGUAAAGUUGUUUUACGGAAGGACACGUAAAAUUCUAUGGGAUGUGUAUGCAUGAUUUUCGGUCGAUUUGAUUUGAUCGGUUGGUUGAUGUAAUCUGUUUAAAUUUGUAUUUUUAUAUAUAUAUGCUGAAAUAAAAAGAAGAGAUUACUUCUUCUCUCCAAAAGAAAGGGCACGCCUCUUCAAAACAGCAAAACAGAGGCAGUUGCAUAAGCUUGCUCUGUUUUGCUGCCCUCUCUCUCCUCAACUUUCUCUCUCUAAGUUUCCUUAUUCACAGAGCCUCCUUUGAAGCUUAUUCGCUUUCGAUCAACAAGUGGUAUCAGAGCUAGGUUAUCUUAAGGGACCGGUAAACCAAUAUACCCUCAAAAAAUCCAAUGACAUCCACUAGAACAACACCCCCUCCAUACUUCAAUGGAGAAAACUACCAUGUAUGGGCAAUCAAAAUGAGAGCCCAUCUGAAAGCCUUAAGUCUGUGGGAUGUUAUUCUGGAUGACAGUGAUCCUCCUCCACCAGGGGACACUGCCACUAUAAACCAAAUCAGAAGGCACGAGGAAGAUAAAGCCAAGAAACCAAAGGCAAUUGCUUGCCUUUUCUCGGCCGUUUCGGAUAGGGUAUUUUCAAGGAUUAUGAACUUCGAAUCACCAAAGGCUGCCUGGGAGAAACUUAAGGAAGAGUUCGAUAGGGGAGUCAGAAGUAGGAAGGUAAAAAUCUUGAGAUUGAAGAGUGAGUUUGCAUUACUCAGAAUGCAGGAAAAUGAAUCAGUGAAGGAAUAUGCAUCCAAACUCUCGGACGUGGUAAACAAAAUGAGACUGCUUGGGGAGGAUUUUCUGGAAUCAAGGGUAGUAGAGCAAAUUCUUAUCAGCUUGCCCCCCAAAUUCGCGUCUAAAAUCUCAGCUUUGGAGGAGGUUGCAGACAUUGAGACUAUCUCCUCGACUGAGCUGAUAAACAAGCUUCAAUCCAGUGAGCAACGGGUAAAUAUACAUGUUCGACAACAUACAGAGGGAGCCUUAAUUUCAACUCAGAACAAAGGCAGCUCUUCAACACAGAUUCAAGGAAGAAGGAGUGAAUGGAAUCAAACUGGAAACCAAAAUCCCAGUAAACAAAAGAAAUAUUCUGAGUGCAGUAUCUGUUCCUUAACAAAUCACUCAGAAAAUGAGUGCUGGUACAAGGGAAAGAAAACCGUUCAGUGCAAUUUUUACAAAAGGCUUGGUCACAAGGAAAAAUUCUGUAGAUAGAAACAGAAGCAGGAAGGAUCACGACCAAAGUAGGAACAACUGUAAGCCAAUAUCACCAAGGUGUCCUGUGAGCCAAGUGACACAAUUCUCGUUGCGCUAAGUAAGCCGCAAGUGGAGGAUGAUACUCUCUGGGUGGUGGACAGUGGAUGCACCUCCCACAUGUGCAAGGAUGAGGACUUAUUCGUAUCACUUGACAGAACAAUCACAGGCCAGGUCCGACUUGGAAAUGGUAUGCUAGAAACCAUCAAGGGCAAAGGCAACAUAGCCAUUGAAACCAAGGAAUGUAGGAAACUUAUCACUGAUGUAAAUUUUAUUCCUACCCUCUCACAGAAUCUUCUCAGUGUGAAUCAGAUGACUGAUCGAGGCUACUCGGUGGGAUUCAAUGAUAACUGCUACAGGAUAUAUGAUCCUGAGGAUCGCUUGAUUGCUUUCAUCCAAAAGAAGAAUCAAGUCUACUCCUUGAAACUCAGAGAAGUAGUUGAGAGGGUCAGUGUUGCCUCUGUAACUGAAGGUGAGAUUUGGCACAGGUGCCUUGGGCAUUUUCAUGCGGCUGGGCUACAACAAUUGCAGAAGGGAAGUCUAACCAAGGACUUUCCAAAUAUUGUAGUCACUGAGACAGUAUGUGGUGCAUGUCAGAUGGGGAAAUUGGCAAGGAAUUCAUUUCCUUCGCAAGCAGAUUAGAGAGCAAAAGAGAAGCUGGCACUUAUCCAUUAUGACAUUUGUGGUCCAAUGACAGAAAACUCCAUGAGUGGUUGCAGGUAUUUUGGCUUGUUUAUAGAUGAUUUUUCCAGGAUGAUUUGGGUUUGUUUCCUGCAGAAUAAAGCUCAAAUUUUAGGUGAAUUUAAGAAGUUCAAGGCUAUUGUAGAGAAUGAAAGUGGCAGUGUAUUGAGGUGCCUAAGGACAGAUAAUGGGCUUGAAUUCAAUUUCAGCCAAUUCAAUGAUUUCUGUUCUGAGAAUGGGAUCAAAAGACAGCUCACGGCACCAUAUUCUCCUCAACAAAAUGGUGUCUCGGAGAGGAAGAACAGAACCAUUGUGGAAAUGGCAAGAAGCAUGCUUGCUGACAAGCACCUGCCUAAAGCCUUGUGGGCUGAGGGAGUGAACACUGCUGUGUUCCUGCUCAACAUGCUGCCUACAAAGGCUGUAAAGCAGAUGACACCGGCGGAGGCUUGGAGUGGCAUCAAACCAUCAACUAAGUAUCUAAAGGUGUUUGGAUCCGUGUGCUACUGCCAUGUCUCGGAUGACAGGAGAUCCAAGCUAGAAAUGAAGACUGAAUUGGGAGUAUUUUUAGGAUACAGUACUGAAGCAAAAGCAUAUAGAAUUCUAAACCUGAAAACCAACAAGCUUAUGAUUCGAAGAAAUGUAACGGUGGAUGAAAACAGCUACUGGAAUUGGGAAAAGCAGAAAGUCGAACGAGACUGUGUCACAGUUGAAGAAGGAAAGAAAUCAAUGACAGUCAAACCCAACUCAGAGUGAUGAAGAAGACGAAUAAGAUGAAGAAGGUGAAGCAGAAGAGAGAAUAAAAAUAAAAAGUCUAAUUGACAUCAAUGAGAGGUGCAGCUUUGCCUCAAAAGAACCUUCCUCUGUUGAGGAAGCACUUCAGCAGCAAGAGUGGAGACUUGCCAUGGAAGAGGAAAUCAGGAUGAUCGACAAAAAUAAUACUUGGUCUCUGGUAAAAUCAAGUACAAACAAAAAACCUAUUGGAGUAAAGUAGGUGUUCAAAGUGAAACUCAAUCCGGACGGGACAACAAACAAGCACAAGCACGGCUUGUGGCAAAAGGGUACUCCCAGCUUUCAGGAAUCGACUACACAAAGACCUUUGCUCCUGUGGCCAGAUAUGAAACAAUUAGACUCAUUCUAGUCAUGGCAGCUCAGUUUAGUUGGAGUGUGAUGCAUUUGGAUGUAAAAUCGGCCUUCUUGAAUGGCAAGCUGAAUGAAGAAAUUUAUGUUGAGCAGCCACUGGGGUUCAUUCAACCUGGAAAGGAGAGACACGUCUAUCUUCUUCACAAGGCCCUAUACGGCCUCAAACAGGCUCCACAAGUCUGGUAUGAUAAGUUAAAUACAUACUUACUCCACUGUGAGUUUGAGAGGAGCAUGACAGAAAAUACACUGUAUGUGAAUAGAGAUGAAGACAGUCUUAUCACUGCAGUAUAUAUUGAUGAUAUACUGGUGACAGGCAGCAACAAAAGGAAAAUGAUAGAGUUCAAGCUAAAAUUGGAAAAGGAAUUUGAGUAUGUAGCCGCAGCUACAGCAACUAACCAAGCAAUUUGGUUGAAGAAGGUGUUCAAUGAUGUAAAGCUGAACAAACAAACACCUACAGUGUUAUAUGUAGACAACAAGUCUGCAAUUGCCAUUGCGAAAAAUCCUGUAAUGCACGGGAGAACUAAACACAUCAACGUUAAGUAUCAUGCUAUACGUGAGGCUGAGAGGAAUCAAGAAAUAAAGCUGAUACAUUGCUCCACUGAUGAUCAGCUUGCAGACAUUCUAACCAAGGUCGUGUCUAAAGCUAAAUUUGAGGAAUUGUGGAAAAAUGUGGGGAUUGGUGAAAAAAGUCAUUAGGGGGGGAGUGUUAAAUUUAAUGAUUUUUUCUAUUGAAUUUAAAUUCAAAAAAAGAAAAUCCACCGUGAAGUUGUUUUACGGAAGGAUACGUAAAAUUUCAUGCGAUGUGUAUGCAUGAUUUUCGGUUGAUCUGAUUUGAUCGGUUGGUUGAUGUAAUCUAUUUAAAUUUAUAUUUCUAUAUAUAUAUGCUGAAAUAAAAAGAAGAGAUUACUUCUUCUCUCCAAAACAGAGGCAAUUGCAUAAGCUUGCUCUGUUUUGCUGCCCUCUCUCUCCUCAACUUUGAAGGUUAUUCGCUUUCGAUCAAUAGAAGAAAUGAAAAACACUUUGGGGGAAAUAGUAAAAAAAAAUAAAGCGGAGGAAACAUAUGCAAAAUAAGUCUCCUUUAAAAAGAAAAAAUUAAAAAGAAAAGAGAACAGGAUUUAAAGUUGAUGCUGUUACAUAAGAAAAAAAUAAACGAACAAACAAACAAAGAACUGCUGUGUUUUUAAAGAAGAUACAACUUUCUAUAUGCGUAAUCAUCUUAGAAGGCUUUCUUGACGAGAACAUAUAUCAAAAUAAAGCAAGGCAAAGAAAGAUUGAAGCAAGAUUCCACAAACAUUUCUUACCCUUUCUCCUGCUCAACUGCAAAUGUUUCUGUCCUUUAUUCUUCUGCUUUUACGGCAACCAAACACCAGUUUUACACAUUCUUGGGUCUCAUCACGUCAUUCUUUUUUGGAGAAGCAUGAGAGCUAUGAUGUGAAUCUAUAUUUUGCAUGAGUGGCUAUGGGGAUAGAGGAGGAGGGAGAGGGAGUCCUACAAAGAGCCCAAAAGAACGGAGCUUUAGCAAGGUUCCCUCUUCAUCUCCUCCUCUGUCUCCUAGCCUCUCAUGGGAGCAUAUCCAAAGAAAAAACUACAAGGAGGAGUUUUAAGUUAACGGGUUUGAAGGUAUAUAUAGAGAGAGGAUAGACGGUAAUAUUUUGCAUGAGUGGCUAUGGGGAUAGAGGAGGAGGAAGAGGGAGUCCUACGAAGAAGAACCCAAACGAGGGACUUUAGCAAGAUUCCCUUCUUCCUCCCUCUCUAUCUCCUAGCCUCUCAUGGGAGGAGAUCAAAAGAAAAAAAAAAAUUACAGGGAUGAAGUUUAAGUUAAGGGGUUUGUAUGUUCAUGUACAGGGAUGANNNNNNNNNNNNNNNNNNNNNNNNNNNNNNNNNNNNNNNNNNNNNNNNNNNUUCGCUAUGAAAUAGGUUUCUUUGUGAAACUGAGCGAUCUGGAUUUCCUCCGUGGUUUGAGGAUCACUGAGCGGGUUUAAUGGUAGAUAGAUUAAUCUUGAGUGAAGUUUUCAAGGUUUCUUUUACAAUAUCCUUGCGUUGAUUUGUGAUGAUGAAAUCUCUGUGCUUUGAUUUUAAUUCAUUAGUGGCCUUUUUCGAAUCUUGCCUCACAAUCAAGGAUUGAAAUUCCAUCUCUCCAUUCUU